RNAcentral lists this ribosomal RNA (466 nucleotides) under uncultured bacterium. Its description in RNAcentral is "partial 16S ribosomal RNA". It matches the Rfam family "Bacterial small subunit ribosomal RNA", at positions 28 to 506 of the family's 1533-position model. The record is from RNAcentral.
GGUGAACGCUGGCGGCGCGCCUAACACAUGCAAGUCGAACGAUUAAAGCACCUUCGGGUGUGUAUAAAGUGGCGAACGGCUGAGUAACACGUGGGCAACCUGCCCCUUUCAUUGGGAUAGCCACGGGAAACCGUGGAUAAUACCGAAUACUUCGAGACUUCCGCAUGGAAGACUCGAGAAAGCUCCGGCGGAGAGGGAUGGGCCCGCGGCCUGUUAGCUUGUUGGUGGGGUAACGGCCUACCAAGGCAAUGAUGGGUAGCUGGGUUGAGAGACCGACCAGCCAGAUUGGGACUGAGACACGGCCCAGACUCCUACGGGAGGCAGCAGUGGGGAAUCUUGCACAAUGGGCGAAAGCCUGAUGCAGCGACGCCGCGUGCGGGAUGAAGGCCUUCGGGUUGUAAACCGCUUUCAGCAGGGACGAGGCGAAAGUGACGGUACCUGCAGAAGAAGCCCCGGCUAACCACGU